This 378-nucleotide ribosomal RNA is filed under the name uncultured organism. RNAcentral's name for it is "partial 16S ribosomal RNA". It matches the Rfam family "Bacterial small subunit ribosomal RNA", at positions 527 to 896 of the family's 1533-position model. The record is from RNAcentral.
GUAGGUGGCAAGCGUUGUCCGGAAUUAUUGGGCGUAAAGCGCGCGCAGGUGGUUCUUUAAGUCCGAUGUGAAAGCCCCCGGCUCAACCGGGGAGGGUCAUUGGAAACUGGGGAACUUGAGUGCAGGAGAGGAAAGUGGAAUUCCACGUGUAGCGGUGAAAUGCGUAGAUAUGUGGAGGAACACCAGUGGCGAAGGCGACUUUCUGGCCUGUAACUGACACUGAGGCGCGAAAGCGUGGGGAGCAAACAGGAUUAGAUACCCUGGUAGUCCACGCCGUAAACGAUGAGUGCUAAGUGUUGGGGGGGUUUCCCGCCCCCCCCCCGAGUGCUGCAGCUAACGCAUUAAGCACUCCGCCUGGGGAGUACGGUCGCAAGACUG